Molecule: ribosomal RNA, 253 nt
Filed under: uncultured bacterium
Lineage: Bacteria
Description: partial 16S ribosomal RNA
Rfam family: Bacterial small subunit ribosomal RNA
Source: RNAcentral
CACGUAGGGUGCGAGCGUUGUCCGGAAUUAUUGGGCCUAAAGCAUCCGUAGCCGGUCCUACAAGUCUUCCGUUAAAUCCACCUGCUCAACAGAUGGGCUGCGGAAGAUACUAUAGGGCUAGGAGGCGGGAGAGGCAAGCGGUACUCAGUGGGUAGGGGUAAAAUCCUCUGAUCCAUUGAAGACCACCAGUGGCGAAGGCGGCUUGCCAGAACGCGCUCGACGGUGAGGGAUGAAAGCUGGGGGAGCAAACCGG